GGUUGGCAUGGGGAGAGGAAGUUCAGAUGGGGAGACUUGGAGAUUUUCUGAGAAGUGGUCUGAUGCAGAACUGAAAAGGCCAACACGAGAAUCUUCAAGUACAAUUGCCUGGGAAUCCUGAGGUCUGGACAGCAACACCUGAAUCUGAAUCUCUUUUGGGUUGAAUCAUAAAAGAAAAUAGUAUGGAGAGAUUUAAGGCCAGGCCUCUGGAGAAGGAAUUGAUAAAAUAUGUGGUAGUACCUGCGCUACAGAACAGAAUUCACUUGGAAGUUCUUGGCAUAUAAAUGAAAACAGAUGGGCUGGGAAGCCAGUGGAUCAAAAGAAGGACCUGGGGGAAGCUCAGCUUGGGGACCGGCUUGCUCUUUGCCCUCACUAUUUGUCAACUGGGAAUCUCCUGGGUGCUCAGCUGUGCUGGAAUCUCAGAUGAGUAAAUUGAAGCCCAGAAAGGCCAAGAAACUUGAACCAUUUAGGUGAAGAAGAGUGCUCACCAGAUUCCCUUCUGGUCUGGAAAAAGAAAUCCCUUCUUUUGUGGAUGUCAUCUCUACCAUCUCUCGGUGAAAAAUAUUUCAAGAGAAUCCUAAGAUGGAGAGAGCAUUGGAAGUCAUCCGGCCCAAUUCCCUUGUGCAAUUCAAAGCUUCUUUGUAAGAAAAAUGCCCCCAGAAGUUUGUUUGCAUCAUGAAGAUCAGAUUUUGAGGAUCCAGUCUGGCUCUUCCCUGUACAAAACAUUCCUCACAAACAGAAUAUGGACAAUUGUUAAAUGUCAAAGGUAAAGUUAUUGUGGGAACUCCUUCAAAAAGUUCAAGUGAGAGCCCAUUCUAUGAAUGACCAUUUACAUCUAAUUUUUUUCUGUGCUAUGUUACUUAUUCUGAAGUGGUUGAUCCAAUUCCUAAAAGGGAAUAUUUCAUUACCUUUUAUUUCCUAUAGCAUCCAUUCUGACCCCUUUUCGGUUUAAUUAUUCCCUGAUUCCAGUCUUCAUUCACUCAUUUAUUUGAGGAAUAUUUAUUGACCAACAACUAUGCCAGGUCCCAUUCUAUGUGUAGGGACUAUAAAGUUGAACAAGACAGAGGAGGUACUGGCCUCAGAAUUUACAUUCUAGUAGAUGAGAAAGUAAAAAUAAACACAUGAAAACAUGAAUGAACCGGAUAUUGUAGACUGUGAUAGGUGUAGUUUGGGUAAAGCACAGAGUGCAGUAGUAAAGAUAAACUGCACUCAGAGUGGGGCUAUUUUAGAUGGAAUGGAGAUCUCUGAGGAAAUGAAAUUUGAGCUGAGACCUAAAAGGUCACCCAAGGACUCAUGGGAAAACUCAGUUGUUUCUAUCAAAAUUUAGCUUCAUGAACUCCAGGCCCUUGCAAAUGAUGGUUACCAGGUGAGAAAUGUCUCACUGGCAACAGAGGUUGGCAGACCCAGCUCCAGUUCCAUCCCAGCCAACAUACCAAUGUCAUUAAAAUAAGGCCAUUCAUCAAGGUGGAGACUAUUACUAGAAACAAGCAUUCUAAAGUGCCAUUUGAGUGCCAGGCUCUCAACACUGGGCGUAGCACUGCUCCAUGAGGCUUUUGAGAGCAUAUACUGAGGCAUGACCAAAAAAAUUAAGUCCCAUGUAAGUGAUGCAACUGCUCCCCAAUUACUGUGGAAGUAUCUGCAGACUAACUAUUGUGCGUGUGUGUUUGUUUGCUUUAAUGAAUAAAUUCAGUCAACCAACCAUCUAGCUAUUGACUAAAUCCAUUCUUUUUCUUCCAAAAUGUCUAUUGGCUGAAGUUUACUGGUUUUUAUUUCUAUUCGCAUACGUAAUUUUCUAAACCCCAUUCUUAUGGAACCUUCUCUAAGUUCCUCUCUAUGGCCCUGUCCAUGUUCAUACGGAUACACAUAAAGACACAAAUACACCAAACUAAGUUUAGAGCAGUCUGGUGCCUGCCUAAGACUUCAGCCUCAUCUCCUGCUUCUACCCUCUUUAGUUUAGGAAAAACAGGUAACGUUGCUGAGUGCCAAGUAUUGUGUUAGUAGCUUUGCAUGCAUUUUUUCAUUUUAUCUUCACAAGUUUCUUCUAUCACCAUGAUCUGUAUGUUUGACCAUGGUGUUUCCUCCACCUGAAAUUCCCUUGGUGCUCUGCCUGGGGAACUGUUACUCAUUCUUCAAAUCUCAACGGAAUGAUCUCCUCCUCUGGAAAGCUCUCCCUACUUCCCUAGGAAGAAGUAAUCCCUUCCUCAGUUCUGCUUUGAUUAUAACUUUAUAAGCACCUAUCACUCUGCAUGGUAUUAGUUCACUGUCAUGUCCAUUUCCUCUAUUGGGAUGUAAAUUGCUUAUGGGUAAUAAUUAGGCUUUGAAUCAUUUUAUGAUCUGGCCUAAGACAGUGCUUGGCACAUACUAUAGGCUCAUCAGAUGAUGGCUGAGUAGAAUUAAAUUGAAUCAAGUUGAAGUUAUACUUUGAUGUUUAUCAAUUAACAUGUGUAGUGUGUUAAAUGGUGGUCACUGAAAACAUACGUCUGCACCCUAAUUCCUGGAACCUGUGAAUAUAACCUUACAUGUUAAGAAGAAAUAUGACCUUAAAUGGAUAUGGAGACAAGGAGCUUAUCCUGGAUUGUCUGAGAGGGCCCUAGAUGCAAUCGCAUGUAUUCUGAUAAGUGGAGAGAAACAGAAGAGGAGGAUGCAAUGUGACCAUGUAGGCAGAAGUUUGAAUGGUGCAGCCACAAGCCAAGGAGCCCCUGGGGCCAUCAGAAGCUGGAAGAAGCAAGGAAUGGAUUCCUUCCUAGUGUUUGGAAGGAGUGUGCACUUGCCAACACCUUGGUUUGAGACUUCUGGCCUCUGGAACUGUGACAGAAUAAAUAUCUGUUGUUUUGAGCCACCCAAUUGUUGCUAAUUUGUUAAAGCAACCUUAGAAAAUUAAUAUAGCAUCCACAAUAAAAUUUCUCAAAAUAUAUGUUCCUGUGAAAUGGAAGAGUUCUAGGGAUCUAGUAGCAUAUACGGAACCCAGAUAAGUUAUACAAGUUUUUCCCUGAAAGUCUUUUCAGAUUCUUUAGCGGGCUAAGGUGCAUUGUGAAUCCCAAAAACUUUAGCGUUUUUCAGCAUCUAUUAUCACAUAAUCCUUUCCCCACCCAUGGAAUUAUAUACUAAACUGUUUUUGUAGAUGUUGAUGUUCUGUAGAACAGAGUUUUGGGGUCUGUAUGACUUAAGAUCCUUCUACAAUGGAACACAGUGAGGAGGGUAUUCAGAGGAGUCAUAGAGGGCAUUGAUCUUGCAAUAUAUACUCAGGAAAUUACCAUGGGCAGAAUAAAAUGCUUUUGAAAAUAUUUAAUGUUUGCUUGGCAUUGUUUCUCUUGGGUUUAGCUUUGCAAAAUUUUCCUCAGGUAUCAUUUUUCUUGUUGCCAUGGAGCCAAUUCACUUCCCAAGGCAAGUUGGUGAUUGGCCUAAGGGAAACUAUUGAGAAAAAAUGGACAGCUCAAGAUGUGGUUUGAAACAUUGAUGUUCUUUCUUGGUGCACUUAACUCUUCUCUCUGCUAUUAUUUUUCUUCUUCACUCUCCUGGAAUCUCCCUCUUUCCCAGUGUAAGUGAGAGUCUAAUAGCUCAUGAUGCAGCUUGGUUUGUUGUGUAUUGAAGUGACCGUAGCUGCAUUUGUUUUGGCAAACCCAUCAUCAUUUGUCUGAGGCAUAACAAUGGCCUCUUUAUUGAUGGUUUAAUCCAGUUCCUGAGGCUGGAUUAAAUAAAUGAGACAAUUGAACCUCAGAUAGGUAAGUGACUUGGCCUUGGUCACCUAGCAAGGCACUGCUAGCCAGACACACAAUCUCACUUAGUAAUUUCUGUCUAGUGCCUCCUACUAGACAGGCCAAGGCCCAGGGCACUGCACUCUGCAUGGGGUGGAAGUAGGGUGUAGCAUUGGAAUGGAGGUAGUGGUAGAAUGCAGUACUUAAAGCCAAGGAGAGAACACUAAAGAAUCCAUAGCCCCAGGAGAAGUAAAGUCAAAGGGAACCAAAAUCCAAAGGCAGUAAUCACCGAGAGGGACUCAGGAGUGAGAGAAAAUUCAUGGACAAGUGGCAGGUCAGAAGCCAGGGAAGUCAGGGCUGCCAGAAAUUUGCAAGCAGCAGGCAGGACCCCUAGUCUUUAUACAACCCUGGUCUUUCUGUAAAAGGCUGGAAAAAAACAGCUUUUUCAAACAUGCUAUAUUCAAAUGUGCCAUAAUUGUUCUGUUUUGAGAAACCAGAAUGGUCUGGCUUUUGUGCAGAAAUAAGGAGAAUAUCAUCCUUUGCUGCUCAAUGAUAAAUGUAUUGCCUGAACCUGAGCCUGGAAGACACUGCCCUACAUGUGCCCAAUGUCUCACAAUGCUUCCUUUGGGCAGUUUAGUUUGGUGUGUGACCUCUGACCUCAAAGUAUCUGAAUAGAAAACAUAACCACACUAGUUCACGCUACCUAUUCCUCUUUCCUCCAAGCAAGUACACUGAAAAUGCUAAGUCCAAACUGUGAAAGAUCUGAGAUAUUACUGUAUUUGCAAGCUACAAAGUUAGCCCUCCACAAUAUGUAUAUAUGCUUAUGUAUAUAUAUUUAUGUGUGUGUGUGCAUGCACACAUGUGUGAGGUGUGUAAUAUAUAUAUAACUUUAUAUCUGACCAAGUUUUGCAUGCCACGUUCUCACAAAGCAACACAAUGAGGGCUUGAUGUCACUGCAUGUGCAGUGGCGUUGGCUCUACAGGAGAAGAGGAACCCUGAAGUUAUAAAGUUUGGAAGUUUAUGGGACAUCCAUCCAUGUUUUCUUCUGGAAAGAGGAAGAAAUAAAUACUUUACUCUUGAAUGGAAAAAAAAAUAUUUUUGUGGAGAAGAGGGGAGGGUUUUUAUUUUGCCACCCUAGACUGUAAACAAACGGUUUCAGGGACAGAAAAAUCCUGAGGUCUCUAUCUUUAGGUUUCAUACUAUGGUCCAAAUAUGUGUGUAUCCUCAAAAUUCAUGCGCUGAAAUCCUAAUCCUAAAGUGACAGUAUUAGAAAGUGGGGCCUUUGGGAGGUGAUUAGAGGAUGAAGGUGGAGGCCUCAUGAAUGGGAUUAGAGUCUUUAUAAAAGGACCUGAAGGAGCUUUUUUACCCUGCCACCAUGUGAGGACACAGUGAGAAGGCACCAUCUAUGAACCAGAAAGCAGAUGCCCUAACCAGACACUGAAUAUGCUGGCGCCUUGAUCUUGGACUCAGCACACAGAACUGUGAGAAAUAAAUUUCUAUUGUUUGUAAGCUACCCAGUCUAUGGUACUUUCUUAUAGCAUCCCAAAUGGACUAAAACAUUUGAUAUUCAGUCAAAUGUUCUUUGUUCAGUGUUGUUUGUUCAUAAAGCUCUGACCAUGAGGAAACAUGAAAAUAUUUGUGGAGCACUGUCUCCCAAUACCAAAACUCAUCGUUUCUCUCUUAAAAAUAAAGGCAUUUCCAGAACAUCAAUAGAUGCUGGGGUAAGUAAAGGAAGGAGAGAAAAAGAAUGAAAAAGGAAUGAAGCUAUUGUACAUAUGAGCAGUGCCUGGGUUCUAGUUAAAUGAGCCUAAAAUGCCUGUUGCUAUCAUGAUAAGUUACACACAUGUCAAUGUGAACUCUCACUAACCAAGGAGAAAACUGAGAUAACUCUUAUUUUCCUCUCUCCCCUCCCCUCCCCUCCCCUCUCCCUCCCUCCCUUCCUUCCUUCUUUCCUUCCUUUUCUCUUUGUUCUUUCUUUCUUUUGAUUUCUUUCUUUUUCUUUCUUUCUUCUUGCUUCUCUAUUUCUUCCUUUCUUUUUCUUUCUUUCUUCUUUCCUUCUCUCUCUAUUUCUUCCUUCUUUCUGCAUCAGAUGGUUAACAAAAUAGACACAGUCUUGGAGCAAGUCUAGAGUGGCACA
RNAcentral lists this long non-coding RNA (5832 nucleotides) under Homo sapiens (human). RNAcentral describes it as "HSALNT0192594". The record is from RNAcentral. Lineage: Eukaryota; Metazoa; Chordata; Mammalia; Primates; Hominidae.